CCUACGGGUGGCUGCAGUGGGGAAUAUUGGACAAUGGGGGCAACCCUGAUCCAGCCAUGCCGCGUGUGUGAAGAAGGCCCUCGGGUUGUAAAGCACUUUCAGUGAGGAAGAACGCCUGGUGGUGAAUACCCAUCAGGAAAGACAUCACUCACAGAAGAAGCACCGGCUAACUCCGUGCCAGCAGCCGCGGUAAUACGGAGGGUGCGAGCGUUAAUCGGAAUUACUGGGCGUAAAGCGCGCGUAGGUGGCUUGAUAAGCCGGUUGUGAAAGCCCCGGGCUCAACCUGGGAACGGCAUCCGGAACUGUCAAGCUAGAGUGCAGGAGAGGAAGGUAGAAUUCCCGGUGUAGCGGUGAAAUGCGUAGAGAUCGGGAGGAAUACCAGUGGCGAAGGCGGCCUUCUGGACUGACACUGACACUGAGGUGCGAAAGCGUGGGUAGCAAACAGGAUUAGAUACCCUUGUAGUC
Molecule: ribosomal RNA, 465 nt
Filed under: Vreelandella stevensii
Lineage: Bacteria; Pseudomonadati; Pseudomonadota; Gammaproteobacteria; Oceanospirillales; Halomonadaceae
Description: partial 16S ribosomal RNA
Rfam family: Bacterial small subunit ribosomal RNA
Source: RNAcentral